AGCUUUGUGCAGUGGCAGUAUUGUACCCAAUGAGGUUUAUCCGAGGUGCAAUUAUUGCUAAUUAAAAUUAUUAGAUAUAAAAUAAAUCUGAUAACAUGUCAAAAUUAAUAUUUAGAAAAAUAAACAUUUAU
This is a small nuclear RNA of Heterocephalus glaber (naked mole-rat), 131 nucleotides long. Its record names the gene U4. It matches the Rfam family "U4 spliceosomal RNA". From Rfam's summary of the family: U4 small nuclear RNA (U4 snRNA) is a component of the major U2-dependent spliceosome. The record is from Ensembl. NCBI's taxonomy places the organism in Eukaryota, Metazoa, Chordata, Mammalia, Rodentia, Bathyergidae.